CACUAGGAAGCUAAAUAGGGCCUAGCGUCAGCCUUUUAAGUUGAAGAUUGGUGGCCCCCAACCACCUCUAGUGA
RNAcentral lists this transfer RNA (74 nucleotides) under Nematalosa nasus (Bloch's gizzard shad). RNAcentral's name for it is "tRNA-Lys". It matches the Rfam family "tRNA". Rfam says of the family: Transfer RNA (tRNA) molecules are approximately 80 nucleotides in length. Their secondary structure includes four short double-helical elements and three loops (D, anti-codon, and T loops). Further hydrogen bonds mediate the characteristic L-shaped molecular structure. tRNAs have two regions of fundamental functional importance: the anti-codon, which is responsible for specific mRNA codon recognition, and the 3' end, to which the tRNAs corresponding amino acid is attached (by aminoacyl-tRNA synthetases). tRNAs cope with the degeneracy of the genetic code in two manners: having more than one tRNA (with a specific anti-codon) for a particular amino acid; and 'wobble' base-pairing, i.e. permitting non-standard base-pairing at the 3rd anti-codon position. Lineage: Eukaryota; Metazoa; Chordata; Actinopteri; Clupeiformes; Clupeidae. The record is from RNAcentral.